UACCAGCACCCCGAGUGGUCGGGACGAUUAUUGGGCCUAAAGCAUCCGUAGCCGGUUUACAAGUCCUCCGUUAAAUCCAGCUGCUUAACAGAUGGGCUGCGGAGGAUACUAUAAGACUAGGAGGCAGGAGAGGCAAGCGGUACUCAGUGGGUAGGGGUAAAAUCCGUUGAUCCAUUGAAGACCACCAGUGGCGAAGGCGGCUUGCCAGAAUGCGCUCGACGGUGAGGGAUGAAAGCUGGGGGAGCAAACCGG
RNAcentral lists this ribosomal RNA (252 nucleotides) under uncultured bacterium. RNAcentral describes it as "partial 16S ribosomal RNA". It matches the Rfam family "Archaeal small subunit ribosomal RNA", at positions 474 to 727 of the family's 1478-position model. The record is from RNAcentral.